AUGCCCAACGCGUCGUGCAAAAACGCUUCCACGCUCCCUGGGUUUGCACGAAGUUAUGAAUUUACUGCCGACGUCUGCGCAAUGGAGACAAAGCCAGGCAGUCUCGUGUAUUAGUCUUCUCAUGUGUUCUCUUUACGGGAAAAACACUGCAGCUUUCAUCACAUAUGCAACAGAUGCACCAUCUUCUGAAGUCCUAUCGCAUGUGUCGUUUGCCCACACUUUGAGCUUGUUGGGGAAGUGAAUGCUGAGGUCAUCUUCACAUUCCUGGAUCUCAGAUGUCAACCACAUCAUGUACCCUGGUGUCAAACUUACAAAGUGAAGCACAAGAGCUGAAAGCCAGCAGAACAGUAAUCAAGGCCACAGUUGGAAAAAAAAAUAUGGAGC
Mauremys mutica (yellowpond turtle) is the source of this 384-nucleotide long non-coding RNA. RefSeq lists it as uncharacterized. The transcript is spliced from 3 exons. The record is from RefSeq and is a predicted model, not a curated record. Lineage: Eukaryota; Metazoa; Chordata; Testudines; Geoemydidae.